This 1380-nucleotide ribosomal RNA is filed under the name uncultured bacterium. RNAcentral's name for it is "16S ribosomal RNA". It matches the Rfam family "Bacterial small subunit ribosomal RNA". The record is from RNAcentral.
UUCGCCCUUAGAGUUUGAUCCUGGCUCAGGACGAACGCUGGCGGCGCGCCUAACACAUGCAAGUCGAACGAGCGAGAGAGAGCUUGCUUUCUCGAGCGAGUGGCGAACGGGUGAGUAACGCGUGAGGAACCUGCCUCAAAGAGGGGGACAACAGUUGGAAACGACUGCUAAUACCGCAUAAGCCCACAGCUCGGCAUCGAGCAGAGGGAAAAGGAGCAAUCCGCUUUGAGAUGGCCUCGCGUCCGAUUAGCUAGUUGGUGAGGUAACGGCCCACCAAGGCGACGAUCGGUAGCCGGACUGAGAGGUUGAACGGCCACAUUGGGACUGAGACACGGCCCAGACUCCUACGGGAGGCAGCAGUGGGGAAUAUUGCACAAUGGGGGAAACCCUGAUGCAGCGACGCCGCGUGGAGGAAGAAGGUCUUCGGAUUGUAAACUCCUGUUGUUGAGGAAGAUAAUGACGGUACUCAACAAGGAAGUGACGGCUAACUACGUGCCAGCAGCCGCGGUAAAACGUAGGUCACAAGCGUUGUCCGGAAUUACUGGGUGUAAAGGGAGCGCAGGCGGGAAGGCAAGUUGGAAGUGAAAUCCAUGGACUCAACCCAUGAACUGCUUUCAAAACUGUUUUUCUUGAGUAGUGCAGAGGUAGGCGGAAUUCCCGGUGUAGCGGUGGAAUGCGUAGAUAUCGGGAGGAACACCAGUGGCGAAGGCGGCCUACUGGGCACCAACUGACGCUGAGGCUCGAAAGUGUGGGUAGCAAACGGGAUUAGAUACCCUGGUAGUCCACACUGUAAACGAUGAUUACUAGGUGUUGGAGGGAUUGACCCCUUCAGUGCCGCAGUUAACACAAUAAGUAAUCCCCCUGGGGAGUACGACCGCAAGGUUGAAACUCAAAGGAAUUGACGGGGGCCCGCACAAGCAGUGGAGUAUGUGGUUUAAUUCGACGCAACGCGAAGAACCUUACCAAGUCUUGACAUCCUGCGACGCACAUAGAAAUAUGUGUUUCCUUCGGGACGCAGAGACAGGUGGUGCAUGGUUGUCGUCAGCUCGUGUCGUGAGAUGUUGGGUUAAGUCCCGCAACGAGCGCAACCCUUAUGGUCAGUUACUACGCAAGAGGACUCUGGCCAGACUGCCGUUGACAAAACGGAGGAAGGUGGGGAUGACGUCAAAUCAUCAUGCCCUUUAUGACUUGGGCUACACACGUACUACAAUGGCGUUAAACAAAGAGAAGCAAGACCGCGAGGUGGAGCAAAACUCAGAAACAACGUCCCAGUUCGGACUGCAGGCUGCAACUCGCCUGCACGAAGUCGGAAUUGCUAGUAAUCGCAGAUCAGCAUGCUGCGGUGAAUACGUUCCCGGGCCUUGCACUCACCGCCCGUCA